This is a non-coding RNA of Meleagris gallopavo (turkey), 817 nucleotides long. Lineage: Eukaryota; Metazoa; Chordata; Aves; Galliformes; Phasianidae. The record is from RefSeq and is a predicted model, not a curated record.
CGCUCCCUUCCAGUACUGGAAGGCCGCAGUGAGGUUUCCCUGGAGCCUUCUCUUCUCUAAGCUAAACAAAGUGGUGUGGGCCUUUCUCCAGCGUGGAUUUAGUUUUUGUGUUCUGUUUCUUUUCAGCUGGUGUGAAGUUCAGAGUCCUCGAGCAGCAGGAUGGAAAACCUCUUCGACUCCUUAUGCAGAUCAACCCUCUAUCAUAUGGCAAUGUGGUACAGACAUACAGGCUGCCGACCUACAGCUGUUACCCCAAGGAUUCCUGGGCAUCCCUCUGCAAGAAGCUGUUCCUUGGAGAGCUGAUCUACCCUUGGAAACACAAAGGAGAGAAACAGGAGUAAAAAAAAGCAAAACCAAAAACCAAAAAAUAAUUAAAAAAAAAACACAACAGAAGAGCCAGGACUGAAAGACUUGGUUAGAAAAACAUAUUGACUCCUAAUGCUUUUGGACCAAAGGUAUCUCAGAGCCAGCAGCUGCUGGAUCCUUUUAAUUACAUUUUGGUAACGUGGGAGGGGCUGAAUUUUUAAAGACAAAUAUUUUUAAAUAUUAUUCUUCAACUUUCCAUUUCCCCUUCUGUGUGUUUGAACUGGUUUGGUUUCCAAGCUGUUUCUUGUUAAUGCAGUGUUCACCCUGCCUGAGAUGCUGGCACCGGGGGCUAAUGAUUAUUUUUGGAGCAAAAGGUUAAACCCAUCAGUGCCUCAUGGAACCAGCAUUUAGUGUAAUCAAGGAAGUACCUCCUGAGAAUUUGAUGCUGUGUACAUCUUUUUGUGUGAGUUCACAGAGCCAUAUUAAAAACAGCCCUUUUGGUGGUUCAGAA